Lontra canadensis (Northern American river otter) is the source of this 948-nucleotide long non-coding RNA. RefSeq lists it as uncharacterized. The transcript is spliced from 3 exons. The record is from RefSeq and is a predicted model, not a curated record. NCBI's taxonomy places the organism in Eukaryota, Metazoa, Chordata, Mammalia, Carnivora, Mustelidae.
UUAAGACCUUUUUAGGGUCCAAGGAUUCCUCAGACACAGAUCUGACAAACACAGGGAGAGGCUAUGUCGCCACGACCUUUGGGUCUGAGACUGUUCCCCAUUCUUAAACCCCUCCUACUCCCUGGAUCCUCAGCUGUGAGAUGGCUUCCCAAAACUUGGACUCCUGCCUCUCCCUGAAUCUUCCCCAUCCUGUGAUUCCAUUUCUCUUGGUACACAAUGGUCAAUGGGAAAUAUCCAAUUCCUGUCUUUGACAUUCUUUGUUACAUUCAGGGCAGAAUUGAAAGUACUGGAAUAGGAGGGAGAUUAGUUAUACCUGUCUUUGCCUUACCAAAGAGGGUGGGGGUAAUAAACUCACCCAAGUCAGGAACACAGAUCUGGAGUAUUUCCUAUCUUGGGGAGAGAAGAGAUGAAAUCCCAUUUGGACAGGGAAAGGAACCCUGGUACUCAUCCUCCUGCUCUUGUAUGGCGGAAGAUGUAGCCAUUCUGGAAAGAAGAUUCCCUCAUAUAAGGAGAUCAAGGCAACUCUUUCACUUCAUUUUUCUGAGUCAGGGGAAGUAAGAGGAAGUGAAACAAAGAUGGGCUUAGUGGGAGAAAGGGCAAAUGCUGACCAGCCCUUUUCUCAGCCCUCUGCUUCCUGUCUCCAAGCCUCUCUCCUGGCCCCUAGACAAUCUUUCCCGUCUGACCAUACUUGGCUGCUCUUAGCCCCUCACCUCUCCCUUACUUGGCCUGGCUCCUGUUUUGAGACUUGUUUUUCACCCUGAGCCACCAUUCCAACACCUGUCCAGAGAUAUCAGAGAUGUCUACAAAUUUCCCAGGAGCUGGCCUGGGCCAGGUCAGGAGAUCUUUGUAUACCAGAUUGGACCUAAUGAAUAAAUGAUACUAAGAACUGGAUCUCCUCUAAUGGCUGUACAUGAGUCUGAGAUUUGGAAUUACUGCGUGGAAGUCCAC